This 678-nucleotide long non-coding RNA is filed under the name Amborella trichopoda. RNAcentral's name for it is "long non-coding RNA (ATRI_LNC000237)". Lineage: Eukaryota; Viridiplantae; Streptophyta; Magnoliopsida; Amborellales; Amborellaceae. The record is from RNAcentral.
UAAAUCAUAGCAAGGAGCAUCUCAAAAUCGCAUUAAAAGAUGUAUUUUCGGUGUCAAAACUCCAAAACUGUUAUCAUGGCUUAGAAAUUGAAAGCUUCAAAAGUGAUUCAAAUCUAGCAUAUUUAUGAGCACCCGAAGUUUUUUAAAAUGGACAAUCUUGGUGAUAAAUGAACUAAUUUUAAAACUUAAAAUUCAUAUUUUCUAUCGUAACAAGCAUAGUGGUCAAAAAGAUAAAUAAGAUAAUUUUUUAGUAACGAAACAACCCAUUUUUUCCUUUUCAAAUAUGAGAAUUUUUUUAAAAUUAAAAAAAAAAAAAAAUUUAGUUUUUUUUUCUGGUUUCUCACCUAAAAGCAGGCCGUGACUUCCCUCGUGAGAGGAGAGAAGAGGGAGAAAGUACGUGAGGUACGGGGAUAGAGCAGUGGUGUUAUUUUUGGGCAGUGUAUCUCCUCAGUCUAGCCCUGCCCUGCCCUGCUUAGCCUACCCCUAAUCUCUCUCUUCAGCUCAUCAUGAACACCAGGCCCCUGUCUCCCACUUUCCUCUCGUUCGAAAAACUGAACCACCUUUUCUCCUUACCCUAUUUGAACGUACAAAAAGUCUUCCUCUUUUGUUACUCUCAUUCAAACAAAUCAAUUAAUGCCUCUCUCUCCAUCAAUCAAUACAGAAUCAGUUCACACGGAA